UCGAGAAUCUUCCGCAAUGGGCGAAAGCCUGACGGAGCGACGCCGCGUGGUUGAUGAAGUCCUUCGGGACGUAAAAACCUUUUAUGGGGGAGAAAGUUAUUGAUAGUACUCCAUGAAUAAGAGGCUCCUAACUCUGUGCCAGCAGGAGCGGUAAUACAGAGGCCUCAAGCGUUAUCCGGAAUCACUGGGCGUAAAGGGUGUGUAGGUGGUCGUAUUAGUCUUUCGUGAAAUCUUCUGGCUUAACCAGGAGCCCGCGGGGGAAACGGUACGACUUCGAGGAUGUGAGAGGUAAAGGGAACUCAAGGUGUAGGGGUGAAAUCCGUUGAUAUCUUGGGGAACACCAAAUGCGAAGGCACUUUACUGGCACACUCCUGACACUGAAACACGAAAGCGUGGGAAUCGAACGGGAUUAGAUACCCCCGUAGUCC
This 428-nucleotide ribosomal RNA is filed under the name uncultured bacterium. Its description in RNAcentral is "bacterial SSU rRNA". It matches the Rfam family "Bacterial small subunit ribosomal RNA", at positions 355 to 796 of the family's 1533-position model. The record is from RNAcentral.